CCUACGGGUGGCAGCAGUGAGGAAUAUUGGUCAAUGGGCGCGAGCCUGAACCAGCCAAGUAGCGUGAAGGAUGACUGCCCUACGGGUUGUAAACUUCUUGUAUAAAGGAAUAAAGUGAGGCAAGUGUGCCUUUUUGUAUGUGUUUUAUGAAUAAGGAACGGAUAACUCCGUGCCAGCAGCCGCGGUAAUACGGUGGAUCCGAGCGUUAUCCGGAUUUUUUGGGUUUAAAUGGAGCGUAGCUGGGUUGUUAAGUCAGUUGUGAAAGUUGGCGGAUCAACCGUAAAAUUGCAAUUGAUACUGGCAGCCUUGAGUACAGUUGAGGUAGGCGGAAUUCGUGGUGUAGCGGUGAAAUGCUUAGAUAUCACGAAGAACUCCGAUUGCGAAGGCAGCCUACUAAACUGCCACUGACAUUGAUGUUCGAAAGUGUGGGUAUCAAACAGGAUUAGAUACCCCUGUAGUC
Molecule: ribosomal RNA, 460 nt
Filed under: uncultured bacterium
Lineage: Bacteria
Description: partial 16S ribosomal RNA
Rfam family: Bacterial small subunit ribosomal RNA
Source: RNAcentral